Molecule: ribosomal RNA, 274 nt
Filed under: uncultured bacterium
Lineage: Bacteria
Description: partial 16S ribosomal RNA
Rfam family: Bacterial small subunit ribosomal RNA
Source: RNAcentral
AUACAGAGGGUGCGAGCGUUAAUCGGAAUUACUGGGCGUAAAGCGCGCGUAGGCGGCUUAUUAAGUCAGAUGUGAAAUCCCCGGGCUCAACCUGGGAACUGCAUCUGAUACUGGUAAGCUAGAGUUUUGGAGAGGGAAGUAGAAUUUCAGGUGUAGCGGUGAAGUGCAUAGAGAUCUGAAGGAAUACCAGUGGCGAAGGCGACUUCCUGGCCAAAAACUGACGCUGAGGUGCGAAAGCGUGGGUAGCAAACGGGAUUAGAAACCCUAGUAGUCC